AUAUCACGUUGAAACACCACUUCCCUUAAGAUCAUCGAAGUUAAGCAACGUCGAGCCUGGUCAUUACCUAGAUGGCUGACAUCUUGGGAAUAUCAGUUGUUGUAAG
Molecule: non-coding RNA, 106 nt
Organism: Acanthosepion pharaonis
Lineage: Eukaryota; Metazoa; Mollusca; Cephalopoda; Sepiida; Sepiidae
Source: the annotation of a GenBank genome assembly